GAUAAUACUGGGUAAGUUGGUGUUGGUAUCUUUUAUUCUUAAUUACUGAUUGUAGAGAUUUCGAGGGUUUAACUAGCUUAUAGUUAAGUUCUCGUUAUUCCCCUACUCUAAUUCCUAAUCUAUCUAUCCUUUUAUUGCUUUCUAUACCGAUUUCAUGGUGUUUUUGCGGGGUUAAGUUAUUUUAUACUCAAUUUCCUUGAGCCUUCCUGGUUAGUUUAAAUUUUUGUUUGCCAAUCAAAACUCCCAAAAAAUUUGAAAAUCGAAAAAAUUACAAAAAAAGAAAUUUUCAUUUCUGCUUAUGUUCAAAUUUGAAUCUGUGUGUAGGAGAAGUUGACUGGUCUCGAUUAUGUUGCGCGGACUCUCAAAAAUAGCGCCGCACCCGUGUCGGAUCCUCCGAAAAUGCACUAUUUUUGAAGGAUCCGACACGCACCCACUGACAUUUUCGGAGAGUCCGAGCUAACAUAGGAUCUCGAACUUGGAUUAGUAUUUGAAAGCUUAAUUGAAACGAAAUCCGUGAUUGAGAUUAGUGGGAUUUGCUAUUGUUGCUUGAAAUCAUGUUAUUUGGUGAGUGACCUGAAGAUCGAAUUGGAGCCGCAUUUGGGAGUUUUUGUUGCUGGGUAAUUGUUGAUUUCCUUGAUUUGGCGGCUGAAAUUUGAGUUUGUUCUAAGUGAUUGUGUGAGCUGAGAUUGCAUUAGUCAUUUAAGAGUUCUUCUGGUGGAGAUGGAAGAAUUAAGUUGUUGGGUCAUAGGAUGCUUGAAGUGUGCAGCUGGAACUAUCAAAAUUUGUGUUUUAUAUUAAAAAAGGGUUCAAAGAUUUAUUGUUGCAGAGAAAACCAAUUGGAGUUUCUUCCUUGUAAAAAUUGCAAUCUAAUGUCUGGAUUCUUUUACGGUGCGAAACUGUGGCUAAAAAAUUCAGAUUUAUGUACUUUCUUUCUCAAUUAAUUUUCAGUUUUUUUUAUUGAUAAUCCUUAGCUAGAUUUCAUUUAGUACUUGUUCAUACUAGUGUUAUCUAGCAUGAAUGGAGAAAAUUUUGAAAUUCUUGAUGAUUAUAUGGAUGCAUUAAAGAUUUUUGUACCACCACUUAAUGGAAGUAGCACUUUGGAAAUUAUUAUGAUUCGGAAUACAGGCUUGAAAUGUUGUUUGACAUUAACCAUAUUCCUAAGUCCAAAAGAGGGCAUUAUGUGGCUACUCAACUAGUGGGACAUGCAUUUACAUGGUGGGAUACUUUUUAAAGAAGUUGAGUGUAAAUGAAGUUGAACUACGGGAGCAAGUAAAAGGGAUACCUCAAGAGUAAGUAUGGUUUUUUUAAAGAGCAAGGUUAUGAGAAGAAUGACACUACUUGUCUAAGAAGACUAAAUGAAGAAAAGUGGUGGUGUAAGUUUAGUGUAAAGAUUGCAAGUGAGGAAGGAUUUAUGCUUGACAUGAGUAGAGAUUAUUGUUCAAACUUCAUUAGUCCUUCUCUGGUUGAUUUGUUGCGCCUACCAUAUGAAUAUUGUGAAGUGCCAUUUGAAGUCAAUAAGACUAAGUUUCAAAAGAUAGAGAUAGGAAACUACCUUAGCUUGAUGGAAUUUGGUUCUUUGUCCAUCUUUCGACAACAAGCCAUCUAUGUUUUGGAUUUUCAUGGUUCCUUGACCACCAGCUUACAUACUGAGGAUUACUACACUAUUGUCAAAGAAAGAAGACGGUAUUCCAUUUACCCUUUGGAUUGAGGAAAAAAAGCUUGCUAAGGAGAAAGUCUUGGGGAGAUUUGCAGCAAAGGCAAAAAAGUUAAGAGUGGACACUUGAAAGUUGAUCAAAAUGUGAGCCCUUACCAAUAUGUUCAAUUUAAAGGAGGGUCAAGUAGAUCCUAUGGGUCACAUGUCAUGCCAAAUGUGGAGAUGUCAAUUGCUACAAUGUGCCUCCAACUGGAAUGCAAGUUGUAUUGUGUCUUGUGUAGGAACUCUUAGAGGUGCGCACCAAGAAGAACCAUCAAGAGAAAAACAACCAUCUUUGAAGAGCUUGGAAAAAGAUCAAGUUAUGUUUUCAAGAGAACCUAUGGGAAUAAAUAUGUAAGAUCAAGGUAAAGAAAAUCUUGUAGAGGAGUUGCACGGUAAAUUGGCUAAGCCUUCCACUCUCGAUACGUUGACCAAUUUUAAUGAUCAAUUGAGUUUUUGACCUUUAUGAUUCAUUAUCUUGCAAUGAGAAUGAUGUUCAUGAGUUACCACUAGUUGAAUGAAUUUGUGGAAAUCAUGUCGGAAAUUCUUAUGAGCUUGUAAAGUUGCCAACUAUGAUGCUAUUGAAAUUGUAGAAUGUGACUCUUUUGAAGA
Long non-coding RNA from Nicotiana attenuata, 2305 nucleotides. RefSeq lists it as uncharacterized. NCBI's taxonomy places the organism in Eukaryota, Viridiplantae, Streptophyta, Magnoliopsida, Solanales, Solanaceae. The record is from RefSeq and is a predicted model, not a curated record. The transcript has 2 exons.